GAUGAAGAACGUAGCGAAAUGCGAUAAGUAAUGUGAAUUGCAGAAUUCAGUGAAUCAUCGAAUCUUUGAACGCACCUUGCGCUCCUUGGCAUUCCGAGGAGCAUGCCUGUUUGAGUGUCAUUAAAUUCUCAAGACCUGUCUGCUUUUUUGAUAGGUAUUGGAUUUUGGGGGUUGCAGGCUGUUUCAAAUAAAUAGCCUUGCUCUCCUUGAAUGUAUUAGUGGAGAAAAGCCAUUGAACUCCAUUGGUGUGAUAAAACCUAUCAAUGCCAGGAGCAAUAUCACUACUUCACUCUGCUGUCUAACUGUGACUGUCUGUAUUAAUUAGUAUGGAUGGGGACAACUUGACCAACUUGACCUCAAAUCAGGUAGGACUACCCGCUGAACUUAAGCAUAUCAAUAAGCGGAGGA
Molecule: unclassified non-coding RNA, 408 nt
Filed under: soil metagenome
Description: partial contains 5.8S ribosomal RNA, internal transcribed spacer 2, and large subunit ribosomal RNA
Rfam family: 5.8S ribosomal RNA (bases 1-120)
Source: RNAcentral